This 57-nucleotide transfer RNA is filed under the name Calotes calotes. Its description in RNAcentral is "tRNA-Cys". Lineage: Eukaryota; Metazoa; Chordata; Lepidosauria; Squamata; Agamidae. The record is from RNAcentral.
AGACCUAGGAACCAAAAUUCUUCUCCAAAUUUGCAAUUUGGGGUUUUCUUCUAGGUC